Molecule: ribosomal RNA, 429 nt
Filed under: uncultured eukaryote
Lineage: Eukaryota
Description: bacterial SSU rRNA
Rfam family: Eukaryotic small subunit ribosomal RNA
Source: RNAcentral
CAAUAGCGUAUAUUAAAGUUGUUGCAGUUAAAAGCUCGUAGUUGGAUUUCUGGGAGGGUGCCGAUGUCCGCUUAACGUGUGUGCAGCGGCGCCCUCUCAUCCUUCUGUUAGCGUCUCUUGGCAUUCAUUUGCUGGUGGCGGGCUCAGAUAUUUUACCUUGAGAAAAUUAGAGUGUUUCAGGCAGGCUAGGCCGGAAUACAUUAGCAUGGAAUAAUGGAAUAGGACUACGGUCUCUUUGUUGGUUUGAGGGACUGCAGUAAUGAUUAAUAGGGAUAGUUGGGGCGAUUAGUACUUAACUGUCAGAGGUGGAAUUCUCAGAUUUGUUUAAAGAACUGACUUAUUGCGAAAGACAUUUGUCCAACGGAAGUGUUUUCUAUUAAUUACAAGAACGAAAGUUAAGGGGUAGUCAAAGAAUGAUUAGUAUACCAU